RNAcentral lists this ribosomal RNA (235 nucleotides) under uncultured Lactobacillus sp. RNAcentral's name for it is "partial 16S ribosomal RNA". It matches the Rfam family "Bacterial small subunit ribosomal RNA", at positions 127 to 354 of the family's 1533-position model. The record is from RNAcentral. Lineage: Bacteria; Bacillati; Bacillota; Bacilli; Lactobacillales; Lactobacillaceae.
UGCCCAAGAGAUCGGGAUAACACCUGGAAACAGAUGCUAAUACCGGAUAACAACAGAUGAUGCCUAUCAACUGUUUAAAAGAUGGUUCUGCUAUCACUCUUGGAUGGACCUGCGGUGCAUUAGCUAGUUGGUAGGGUAACGGCAUACCAAGGCGAUGAUGCAUAGCCUAGUUGAGAGACUGAUCGGCCACAUUGGGACUGAGACACGGCCCAAACUCCUACGGGAGGCAGCAGGU